This is a non-coding RNA of Gossypium hirsutum (cotton), 106 nucleotides long. NCBI's taxonomy places the organism in Eukaryota, Viridiplantae, Streptophyta, Magnoliopsida, Malvales, Malvaceae. The record is from Rfam.
AGCCCAUGGUGAGGGCACCUUCUCAAUAGAUCCUUAUACCUCUCCCAUGCAUCUAUAGGCUCUCUAAGUCCAUUUUCACAAAGGAAGCGAUAUCAUUCCUCAACUU